Molecule: ribosomal RNA, 1412 nt
Filed under: Lactiplantibacillus plantarum
Lineage: Bacteria; Bacillati; Bacillota; Bacilli; Lactobacillales; Lactobacillaceae
Description: bacterial SSU rRNA
Rfam family: Bacterial small subunit ribosomal RNA
Source: RNAcentral
CAAGUCGAACGAACUCUGGUAUUGAUUGGUGCUUGCAUCAUGAUUUACAUUUGAGUGAGUGGCGAACUGGUGAGUAACACGUGGGAAACCUGCCCAGAAGCGGGGGAUAACACCUGGAAACAGAUGCUAAUACCGCAUAACAACUUGGACCGCAUGGUCCGAGUUUGAAAGAUGGCUUCGGCUAUCACUUUUGGAUGGUCCCGCGGCGUAUUAGCUAGAUGGUGGGGUAACGGCUCACCAUGGCAAUGAUACGUAGCCGACCUGAGAGGGUAAUCGGCCACAUUGGGACUGAGACACGGCCCAAACUCCUACGGGAGGCAGCAGUAGGGAAUCUUCCACAAUGGACGAAAGUCUGAUGGAGCAACGCCGCGUGAGUGAAGAAGGGUUUCGGCUCGUAAAACUCUGUUGUUAAAGAAGAACAUAUCUGAGAGUAACUGUUCAGGUAUUGACGGUAUUUAACCAGAAAGCCACGGCUAACUACGUGCCAGCAGCCGCGGUAAUACGUAGGUGGCAAGCGUUGUCCGGAUUUAUUGGGCGUAAAGCGAGCGCAGGCGGUUUUUUAAGUCUGAUGUGAAAGCCUUCGGCUCAACCGAAGAAGUGCAUCGGAAACUGGGAAACUUGAGUGCAGAAGAGGACAGUGGAACUCCAUGUGUAGCGGUGAAAUGCGUAGAUAUAUGGAAGAACACCAGUGGCGAAGGCGGCUGUCUGGUCUGUAACUGACGCUGAGGCUCGAAAGUAUGGGUAGCAAACAGGAUUAGAUACCCUGGUAGUCCAUACCGUAAACGAUGAAUGCUAAGUGUUGGAGGGUUUCCGCCCUUCAGUGCUGCAGCUAACGCAUUAAGCAUUCCGCCUGGGGAGUACGGCCGCAAGGCUGAAACUCAAAGGAAUUGACGGGGGCCCGCACAAGCGGUGGAGCAUGUGGUUUAAUUCGAAGCUACGCGAAGAACCUUACCAGGUCUUGACAUACUAUGCAAAUCUAAGAGAUUAGACGUUCCCUUCGGGGACAUGGAUACAGGUGGUGCAUGGUUGUCGUCAGCUCGUGUCGUGAGAUGUUGGGUUAAGUCCCGCAACGAGCGCAACCCUUAUUAUCAGUUGCCAGCAUUAAGUUGGGCACUCUGGUGAGACUGCCGGUGACAAACCGGAGGAAGGUGGGGAUGACGUCAAAUCAUCAUGCCCCUUAUGACCUGGGCUACACACGUGCUACAAUGGAUGGUACAACGAGUUGCGAACUCGCGAGAGUAAGCUAAUCUCUUAAAGCCAUUCUCAGUUCGGAUUGUAGGCUGCAACUCGCCUACAUGAAGUCGGAAUCGCUAGUAAUCGCGGAUCAGCAUGCCGCGGUGAAUACGUUCCCGGGCCUUGUACACACCGCCCGUCACACCAUGAGAGUUUGUAACACCCAAAGUCGGUGGGGU